This 771-nucleotide ribosomal RNA is filed under the name Agrococcus sp. Its description in RNAcentral is "bacterial SSU rRNA". It matches the Rfam family "Bacterial small subunit ribosomal RNA", at positions 66 to 849 of the family's 1533-position model. Lineage: Bacteria; Bacillati; Actinomycetota; Actinomycetes; Micrococcales; Microbacteriaceae. The record is from RNAcentral.
AUGAAGGAGGAGCUUGCUCCUCCGGAUUAGUGGCGAACGGGUGAGUAAUACGUGAGCAAUGUGCCCUUGACUCUGGGAUAAGCGCUGGAAACGGCGUCUAAUACCGGAUACGACGAUCGGAGGCAUCUCCUGGUCGUGGAAAGAACUUCGGUCAAGGAUCAGCUCACGGCCUAUCAGCUUGUUGGUGAGGUAACGGCUCACCAAGGCGACGACGGGUAGCCGGCCUGAGAGGGUGACCGGCCACACUGGGACUGAGACACGGCCCAGACUCCUACGGGAGGCAGCAGUGGGGAAUAUUGCACAAUGGGCGCAAGCCUGAUGCAGCAACGCCGCGUGAGGGACGAAGGCCUUCGGGUUGUAAACCUCUUUUAGCAGGGAAGAAGCGAGAGUGACGGUACCUGCAGAAAAAGCACCGGCUAACUACGUGCCAGCAGCCGCGGUAAUACGUAGGGUGCAAGCGUUGUCCGGAAUUAUUGGGCGUAAAGAGCUCGUAGGCGGUUUGUCGCGUCUGCUGUGAAAACCCGAGGCUCAACCUCGGGCUUGCAGUGGGUACGGGCAGACUAGAGUGCGGUAGGGGAGAUUGGAAUUCCUGGUGUAGCGGUGGAAUGCGCAGAUAUCAGGAGGAACACCGAUGGCGAAGGCAGAUCUCUGGGCCGUAACUGACGCUGAGGAGCGAAAGCAUGGGGAGCAAACAGGCUUAGAUACCCUGGUAGUCCAUGCCGUAAACGUUGGGAACUAGAUGUGGGGACCAUUCCACGGUCUCCGUGUCGU